RNAcentral lists this ribosomal RNA (233 nucleotides) under uncultured bacterium. RNAcentral describes it as "partial 16S ribosomal RNA". It matches the Rfam family "Bacterial small subunit ribosomal RNA", at positions 118 to 350 of the family's 1533-position model. The record is from RNAcentral.
UGGGUGAUCUGCCCUGCACUUCGGGAUAAGCUUGGGAAACUGGGUCUAAUGCCGGAUAUGACUGCGAAUCGCAUGGUUUGUGGUGGAAAGCUUUUGCGGUGUGGGAUGGGCCCGCGGCCUAUCAGCUUGUUGGUGAGGUUAUGGCUUACCAAGGCGACGACGGGUAGCCGGCCUGAGAGGGUGACCGGCCACACUGGGACUGAGACACGGCCCAGACCUCCGUACGGGAGGNA